GACGUUCCAUUAUAAGGGGAGUGGCCAGCUCCAAGGCAAGUCUGCAAACCGUCAAGUUUUACAUUUCUACAAUAAUGAUAACGUUAAAUAUAAGCAUUAUUUCAUCAACAGUAUACAAUAUCAAUGUAUAACUGUACUUCGCUAUUUUAAACUCGUCAAAGGGAAAAAGAGUUCCACCGGGGUGAAGAGACGGUGGGCAUUUCCCAACGCCCUUCCGGAACCGUAUUUUAACCCUGGGAUUCAGGUCGGACCUCCUUUAUCAGCACACCGUGGCACCCAUCACUGCUGAGGAAUAGACGUAAACAAGACAUUACUUUGAACUGUGACUAUUUACUUGAGAAUGAUAAUGGUUAAAUUAUAACAAUGACUGUUACCACGUAAACUAUGAGGCGUGCACGCAACAUAUAAAACAAUGAUAGCAAAUGUCAAACUGUAUUUCUGCAAUACAGUUACGUAUGGGAUAUAAGAAACAAAAGCUGUGUGUCGCGUCGUCAUUUAUAUUAUGUUUAUAGUGCAAAUUGAGUAAUAACGUGCAUAAAAUUAAAAGGAUAUUUGUUAUGGCCUGUGUACACUUGCACGCGGUAAACUACCGCGUGGCUAGCUUGUGGGCAUGCUGGCAGCAGCAGUUCUGUUGUGCAACAAAGAUCUGGUUAUUAAAUGGGUAAAUAGUUCAAUCUAUUCUCCAUUAACAGUUAAGUAGUGUGCUCUAACCCGCUCUGGUGACAAACGUCGCUGCCCUGUUUCCAAUCGUCCACAUUGCUGCUGGGAGAAUCUAUUCAAAUACAGAGCUGUGAAACCCUGUCUGCAGAUGAAGAGCAAUGGUUCCCAGUCCUGUUCCUGGGGUCUCAAAGGGAUGCCUUGCAACUGGAGAUUUCUUAAACGAUUGCCUACAGUUACUGUGUAGGGCACGGCACAGUUGGGUGACCAGGGCCAUCUGGGACUGUCUCGUGGGGGAUUUCAGGCAUCUGUGAAGGCUACCUGUGUCCUGCAUAACUUCAUGAUGAUGAACAGGAGGGGACCUGCAGCGCUCCGCCGUGUUCCAGAGGAGAGGUCUGCUGCUCUGCAGGAUGUUGCCAGGAUGGGGGCCAACAACGCAGCACAGGAGGCAAUCCGUGUGCAGGAGACCUUCACCUCCUACUUCUUCACAAAGGAUUCUGUUCCCUGGCAACACCACAGACUACACUAUGCACAACCAAAGGCUCUUUUAAGAGCCAUCCACAUUGCAAUAAGAGUAUUCUUCCAUUUACUCAGCUAUGUCAACUGCAGUUAUUAAUUUCAGUUUCUGUUCCUGUGAGUUCUACUUCACAGGUGAGGGUGCUGUUUAGGUAGGUGUGGUGUCUGUACAAAUACAAAACAGGCUCUUUUAAGAGUCACUCAUAUUGAAAACAUUUAGAACAAUUAGACACCCUAUAAGCCACACCUACACAUUUGUCUAUCAAUCUGAUUUAUGUGUUGUGUAGUAAGCAGGCUCCGGUGUAUAACUGGCUCCUUCCACCUUCAAAGAAUAGACAAGAGGACAAACCAUGGAGAAUAGUAAGACACUUCAUUAUUUAUAUAACUACGCUAAAUUGUUUGUACUCAAGUGUCUGCCUCACCCGCUGUUCAGAUAACCUUCGGGCCCAAGGCUGGUUAGGAGACACCUCUAGAGACACUUAUGUAAAACAUUUCACAUUCUCUACUGGUUGAAGUCUCUCAUUUGAUGAAAUACCACACCUAUCCUGUCCUCAGAUGAGUGCAGAUAAAGGAAAUUAGAUAGAUGAACCUAUUUACAUGAUGCAAAGGAAGUGUAAUGUUUUUUUUUUUUAAAUUCUGUUUCUGUAUAUAUGAAUUACAAAUAAGCCCUUUAACUAGUUAAAUCAUGUUUAUAGUCUAUUUGUUACUAUGUGUAACCAUUGAUGUCCCAGGACCAAGAUUGGUAAACACUGUUGAAGUGUAUAAUUGUAAUACAUACAUGCAGACACGGCAUCAUUCAAAGACUGCCCGUUUGAUACUCCUGGUAUUGGAUAUGACUGAAAAAGAAUCUCAGACAUUCAUACCAGAACCGCACCUUUAUUUACCAAGGUAGAGUACAUGAUCAGUGGAAAUAUUAAAUGUACAGGCUACAAUGUGGGGAUCUCAUGCUACAUGUAUAUACGACUUGCAUCCGUGGCACAAAGUUAGAUUAUAUUCUACUCAAUCCAUAGGCUUCAUUGAUGCCAGUCAGACUGUUUUGAAGUUGAUACAACCGGCUAUGAUAGCUUAAGUUCAUAUCUAGGUUCUGAACUAAUAUGUAUCCAAAACGUUUGGGUCCAUACACAGAUCUGCUAGACAGCUACACAUCCAUAGGUAUUCAGGGAUUUUAUCCUCCACUGCACAAUAAACA
Molecule: non-coding RNA, 2362 nt
Organism: Oncorhynchus mykiss (rainbow trout)
Lineage: Eukaryota; Metazoa; Chordata; Actinopteri; Salmoniformes; Salmonidae
Source: RefSeq, a predicted model, not a curated record